RNAcentral lists this transfer RNA (71 nucleotides) under Neotoma lepida (desert woodrat). It matches the Rfam family "tRNA". From Rfam's summary of the family: Transfer RNA (tRNA) molecules are approximately 80 nucleotides in length. Their secondary structure includes four short double-helical elements and three loops (D, anti-codon, and T loops). Lineage: Eukaryota; Metazoa; Chordata; Mammalia; Rodentia; Cricetidae. The record is from Rfam by way of RNAcentral.
GCAGGUAGCUCAGUGGUUAAGAACACUGACUGCUCUUCCAGAGGACCUGGGUUCAAUUCCCAGUACCUACA